Molecule: ribosomal RNA, 497 nt
Filed under: uncultured bacterium
Lineage: Bacteria
Description: partial 16S ribosomal RNA
Rfam family: Bacterial small subunit ribosomal RNA
Source: RNAcentral
GACGAACGCUGGCGGCGUGCCUAAUACAUGCAAGUUGAGCGCUGAAGGUUGGUCCUUGUACCAACUGGAUGAGCAGCGAACGGGUGAGUAACGCGUGGGGAAUCUGCCUUUGAGCGGGGGACAACAUUUGGAAACGAAUGCUAAUACCGCAUAAAAACUUUAAACACAAGUUUUAAGUUUGAAAGAUGCAAUUGCAUCACUCAAAGAUGAUCCCGCGUUGUAUUAGCUAGUUGGUGAGGUAAAGGCUCACCAAGGCGAUGAUACAUAGCCGACCUGAGAGGGUGAUCGGCCACAUUGGGACUGAGACACGGCCCAAACUCCUACGGGAGGCAGCAGUAGGGAAUCUUCGGCAAUGGACGAAAGUCUGACCGAGCAACGCCGCGUGAGGGAAGAAGGUUUUCGGAUCGUAAAACUCUGUUGGUAGAGAAGAACGUUGGUGAGAGUGGAAAGCUCAUCAAGUGACGGUAACUACCCAGAAAGGGACGGCUAACUACGUG